GACGGGGGGGGCAAGUGUUCUUCGGAAUGACUGGGCGUAAAGGGCACGUAGGCGGUGAAUCGGGUUGAAAGUGAAAGUCGCCAAAAAGUGGCGGAAUGCUCUCGAAACCAAUUCACUUGAGUGAGACAGAGGAGAGUGGAAUUUCGUGUGUAGGGGUGAAAUCCGUAAAUAUACGAAGGAACGCCAAAAGCGAAGGCAGCUCUCUGGGUCCCUACCGACGCUGGGGUGCGAAAGCAUGGGGGAGCGAACAGG
This 252-nucleotide ribosomal RNA is filed under the name uncultured bacterium. RNAcentral describes it as "partial 16S ribosomal RNA". It matches the Rfam family "Bacterial small subunit ribosomal RNA", at positions 524 to 776 of the family's 1533-position model. The record is from RNAcentral.